GCACGCAACUUGGGGCCACCUGGCCUAGUGACUGCUGCUACGCGUCCUGGCCGAGGGGUAGCGGGACCGCAGGCGGCUGGAGUGGGGAAGGGUGACCGCCGCCGUCGUUUCUUCUCCGUGGGUGGCUACAGAGUGCCCUCAAGUAACCCGGAGGUUGAGGGCCCCCCAGUGCGCGGCUGCCGGGGGUCAGGACGCGGGACUCCCCUCUACCGCCAUGGUCUGGCAGUGUGGGGGAGCGCUCAGGGACAGAGAUGCGGCUGCAGAUGUGUGCUUUCUCCUUGCUCCCGACUGCUGACUUCAUUAUUCAAAUACGCAGCCGAAACCAUGGAUCUUGCAGGUGCAGCUUUUCUCUGUCUCUCUUAUGUGGAAAGCAGCACAGCGUGGACUCCAGCCAAACUCCCCGAGUUGGAUUGCAGCUCUCUGGCUCUCUAUCCCUGUGAACUGGGGCAGUUUACUGCUUCUAUGUCUCAGUUUCCUCAGCUGUGCAAAGGGGUUACUGAUCCUACUUAACGGGGUGGGUUGUUGUGAAGAGGAAAUGAGUUAACAUAAGUAGAGAAAGACACUGGUGCCUGGCAAGCACUGUGUGAGUGUUUUGGUGUUAUUAUUGCUGUUUUUAUUAGAGCUACAUGUAACGGAACGUUUAAUGAGCCUUUUCCUGUUACCCUGGAAUUAGUGAGUCAGGGCACAAAGUGUUCAUAUCCUCGAGGGGACACAACAAGGCACCAUCUUGGAAGCAGAGAGUGGGCCCUCACUGGACACCAAACCUGCAGGUGCCUUGAUCUUGGACUUCCCAGCCUCUAUGACUCAAAUAUGCACUGGAAUUAGGAGUCUCACCCUUUGCUGGCCUCUGCAGCUACAGAGAUGAUUGGUCACAUUCUCAUGGGUGAAGAAAUGGACAAGCUGAUUCUAAAAUUCAUUUGGAACUGCAAGGGACCAGAAGAACCAAAGCAAUCUUCAACAAGAACAAUGUUAGAAGAUUCACUUCUCCAUUUCAAAACUUACUACAAAACUAUAGUAAUCGGCGGGGUGCAGUGGCUCAUGCCUGUAAUUCCAGCACUUUGGGAGGCCGAGGCAGGCAGAUCACUUGAGGUCAGAAGUUUGAGACCAGCCUGGCCAACAUGGUGAAACCCCGUCUCAACUAAAAAUACAAAACUUAGCUGGGUUUGGUGGCAAGUGCCUAUAAUCCCAGCUACUCAGGAGGCUGAGGCAAGAGGAUUGCUUGAGCCUGGGAGGUGGAUGUUGCAGUGGGCUGAGAUCGUGCCACUGCACUCCAGUUUGCCUGGGUGACCAAGUGAGACUCUGUCUCAAAAACAAACAAACAAACAAAAAAACAACAACAAAAAGUAUGUGUAUAUAUAUAUGAGAGAGAGAGAGUAAUCAUUACUGUGUGAUAUUGGCAUGAGUAUAGAUACAGAAUAGAAUUGAAAGUCCAGAAAUAAAUCUAUACAUUUAUGUUAAUGUCAAUUGAUAUUGAAUGUUUGCCAAAAACAUUCAAUGGAGAAAGAAUAGCCUUUUCAACAUAUGGUGCUGGGUCAACCAGAUAUUCACAUACUAAAGAAUAAACUUGGAACUCUAUCUUAGGGCUAAUAUGAAAAUGAACUGAAAGUCAACUAAAUAACCUAAAUGUAAGAGCCAAAUCUAUAAAACUCUUAGAAGAAAACAGGUAAAAAUCUGCAUGAUCUUAGAUUAGGCAAUAUUUAGAUUUGGCACUAAAAACAUAAGCAACCAAAGAAAAAAA
Long non-coding RNA from Macaca mulatta (Rhesus monkey), 1738 nucleotides. NCBI's taxonomy places the organism in Eukaryota, Metazoa, Chordata, Mammalia, Primates, Cercopithecidae. The record is from Ensembl.